CGAAAGCCUGACGGAGCCAGACCGCGUGAGGGAAGAAAGACCUUGGUUCGUAAACCUCUUUGCUCAAGGAAGAAGAAGUGACGGUACUUGAGGAAUCAGCAUCGGCUAACUCCGUGCCAGCAGCCGCGGUAAGACGGAGGAUGCAAGCGUUAUCCGGAAUUAUUGGGCGUAAAGCGUCCGCAGGUGGUGCAUCAAGUCUGCGGUUAAAGACCGGAGCUUAACUCCGGGUCAGCCGUGGCAACUGAGGCACUAGAGGAUGGGAGGGGUAGAGGGAAUUCCUAGUGUAGCGGUGAAAUGCGUAGAGAUUGGGAAGAACACCGGUGGCGAAAGCGCUCUACUAGACCAUCAGUGACACUCAGAGGACGAAAGCUAGGGGAGCG
Molecule: ribosomal RNA, 380 nt
Filed under: uncultured cyanobacterium
Lineage: Bacteria; Bacillati; Cyanobacteriota
Description: bacterial SSU rRNA
Rfam family: Bacterial small subunit ribosomal RNA
Source: RNAcentral